GGAUCAAUAUUUCGGUCAUGCCGUUGGUAUGCACUGUUAUCAUUGAUUUCUCACCUUCUAAAGAACCGUAAUGCCAUUAAUUUGGUGUUACGUGGAAUUAGGACUGUUACCUUGAAAAUUAGAGUGUUUAAAGCAGGCUCACGCUUGAAUACAUUAGCAUGGAAUAAUGAAAUAGGACAUCCGAUUCUAUUUUGUUGGUUUCUAGGAUCGAUGUAAUG
RNAcentral lists this ribosomal RNA (218 nucleotides) under uncultured Glomeromycotina. RNAcentral's name for it is "partial 18S ribosomal RNA". The stretch from base 24 to 218 matches the Rfam family "Eukaryotic small subunit ribosomal RNA", at positions 669 to 867 of the family's 1831-position model. Lineage: Eukaryota; Fungi; Glomeromycota. The record is from RNAcentral.